UAGUUAGACUAUGGAGAAUGUACGACAAUGCUACUCCCUAUAUUUCAUGAAGUUGGUUGUCAAUUUUUAAUCAAGUUAUGAUCUAAUAGCAAGCUCUGGCUGGAAGUGAUCGAGGAGUGAGUACGACCAAAAACCUAAUUUGAGUGAGUCUUGACAAUCGUUUAGUCCAUGUUGAAAUUUAUGUUUUUUUCACUCUGCGGUCAUCUUUGAAACUAUACCUGCUUGAUAACUGUAUGUACAUGACUAAACCGGCCCGCACUAAACGGCAAGGAGGAUUCCAGAGGCAAAUGAUGUUGGCAGCAAGAAGGAAGGAAGAAUACGGUACAAUCUUUACAUAUUGAUUAGGGCCUUAUCUAUCUUACGAUCCUGGUCAGGGAUCUCCGUCACAUGCACGUCUUAGUAGUAGCAAAAACAGAUCCAUUAACAUCAGUUCCUCAGUACGUUCAGCUUGAUUUAACUGUUCUUUACUUGGAUGAUCACGUCCAUAGUUAUUCUGGUGGUAUGAUUGUACAAAGCUAAAACAAAUGCUCUACUUGAUUGCUUUUAUUUCCAACGUAAUGUUGCCUAACUCCAGUAGAAUUGAAUCUGAUUUCAUUAAUUGUGGCAAGCUUGGAUUAUUCCUUCUAAUCAUAUUCCUUCUCCCAUGUUCAAAGAUUAAUCCUAACUGCGGAUUAAUUUUAAAUUCUUAUACGCACGUUACCUAUGGUUACUAACUCAUUGAUACAAUUAAAUUCUUAUGUGCAUGUUACCUACGGUUACACUACCAUGAGUCCAUGAUCAUGUUGAUACAUACCUUGAACUUGACGUGGACGGAGAAAAAGCAGUGGGCCUCGACAUGCCAAUUUGUGCCCUGAUCUGCACCUUUAGUGUACGCAAGGCGCAGCGCGAAGCACGAUGGUCCAGAGACCAAAAGGGUCAGAUAUGAUGUCACCUAGCUUCUGACCUGUGAUCAAUGCCAAAGUUUUCAUUGCCUACAUCAAGUACAUGAUUUAAGGUAGAAGGUUAUGCGGAUAUGAUUCCAUUUAUUCUGUGGUUAAACUUUGUUCACACUGCAUGCAAGGAGGAGUAGUGUGGUGAAAGGUUGGACGUACAAAGCACAAAAUGUGGCUAUCAUGCGGACUAAGGUAAACUCAAGGAUUUACAAGUUUGGCAGACAUGGAUGCACUGUUCAUGUUUAUUGGUGUUCUUUGUGAACCAUGGUAACAUGUAUUAAAACAUAUCUUCCGUCCUUCAACCGUGUUUUGAGGUCCGGGUAAAAAACUUCAUUGGUUAUCAACUUCACUAAUGUUUAAGUUCCAUAUUUCACUCCUAGAAAAACUCUUCGAAUAUUUAAGAAAACAAAUAUAGAAAAAUUGCAAAGGUGAUAUCAUUUUUUAAUAGAAAUGUCUAGCCCGUGCAAUUGCACGGGUUGACGACUAGUUAAGAUUAAUUUGUUUUUUAGCCGCUUGUUUUAUUUGAUUAUUUUUUGCACCGGAUUUUUUCUCAAGUUGGCUUGGCCCCACUAUACUCAAAUCCUGGCUCCGCCCCUGCAUGGCCUUACUAGCUAGCUCCAUCACCCAGGGAACGGUCUUCUGGCACCACGCCUCAUCGGCCGCCAGUGCCAUCGCCGAGGUUUGCUGCGGCUGUGAGGAGCAUUUCUUUUUUCUUUAUACCAGGCAGGCAAAUUUCUCCUUGCGCGCACGAGAGGCCGACAAAGGAUUUUUCGUGCAUGGCUGUAGAUCAGGGCUGGACCACCAGCACUAGAAAAAAAAAGCCCGUUCUCCGACCUGUUUGCUUUUUUCAUCAGUCACGUGUCCCUUUUUUUGUGGGGGUCACGUGUCCUUUCAAUGUCAGGGGCUAGAUAUGGCACUAAUGUGGUGUCUAUGCAAACUUCUACUGUUAGUACUGUGCAACACCCUGAUGCAGUCCUUCCGAGUAUGACACAUGCAGAACACACUGAUGGUCAAGAUAUCCAGAGAUCUGUGGAGCCGGAGGGAGAAGCAACCACGGUUGUGUGUGCUGCAAGCUCGCUCAUGGAUGCAUGUGCACCGAAGAAGCAUGCACUGGCCAUGGCUAGCUCCGUGCAUGGCCAGCUGGCCGUGGGCACGGUGCAUGAGCCCGUCGCUCACAUGCAUGUGGCUGGGGGCGCGCCUGCACAGCAUGAAACGCAUGCAGCAACCCCAGUCCCGAUGCUCGGGCAGCUAGCUAUGGGCAAGGAUACGACGCCAACAGGGCACACAACUGCUGCUACCUCGGUUCACGUGCGAGGUUCCCCAACACUGUCUGAGUCGACUGCACCAGCAUGUUCUCCGGUCGCUGUGGUUCCACUCGGUCCAGCAGCGGUUCGUGCGCAUGGUUCUGCCGCGACGCCCGUUGCUACCGUUCCGGUUGGACCGUUGGCGCGUCCCUCUUCACCGACAUCUGGGACAUUACGGACCCCAACGGCUAAGCCGACGACACCGACGGCGACUAUGUCUGGAGGGAUUGCUUCGCGUCUCCGACGUAGUAACCGUCAUGCCACCUCUGCCGAUGGUUCCUCUACGACUGAUGAGCACUCUCUAGCGAAGGCGAUGUGCCGCCAAGCCGUGAGAAAUUUGGACCCCACGCCAGGUACCCUGUCCGCUCAAUCUUUUCUUUCUUUUUCAGAUACUCGCAUUAAUAAUAGCUUAAAUAAUA
This is a long non-coding RNA of Triticum aestivum (bread wheat), 2655 nucleotides long. RefSeq lists it as uncharacterized. The record is from RefSeq and is a predicted model, not a curated record. The transcript has 3 exons. NCBI's taxonomy places the organism in Eukaryota, Viridiplantae, Streptophyta, Magnoliopsida, Poales, Poaceae.